Trichomycterus rosablanca is the source of this 1392-nucleotide long non-coding RNA. RefSeq lists it as uncharacterized. The record is from RefSeq and is a predicted model, not a curated record. Lineage: Eukaryota; Metazoa; Chordata; Actinopteri; Siluriformes; Trichomycteridae. The transcript has 3 exons.
UCUUCUUUCUGUUCUUAUGUUUUAAAGUUUGAAUCCAUAAGUGAUUAAAGGCCACAAGUGAUUAGUGAUUCUAGACAGACUCUCCUUAUAGAAUUAUAGUUUUGCCUUUAAGUCAUUUAACAUGUUUUUUUUAUUAUUCUUAAGUCCAGCAUCAGUCUUAAGGCUUUUUACCAACUGACCUCAGUAUUAAUACCCGCUGGAUUAUGAGAAGAACAGAAAGUUCGUUCUGGAGGUUGCUGUGGAGAACGAAGUUCCUUUUGCUUUACCCAUGACCACCUCUACUGCCACUGUCACCGUCAACGUUCUGGAUGUGAACGAGGCUCCUGUGUUCAACCCAGUGGAGAAGGAGAUUUCCAGAGCUGAAGAUAAUCAGCUGACCAUGAACACUUUCUUUUCAUAGACGAGUCUCAGAACUGACUGAGUUUCAGGUAUCAUGUGAGCUCUGAUCCGACAGGCUGGCUGAACUGAUAUAAUUCAGUUAAUACAAAGCAACAAUCUUGACUGCUGAUAAUGGUGUCGUGCUCAGGGUGCCUCACACUGUAUAGUGCGGCGGCAGUGUUUACCAGACUGGAAGUGUGAGAAAUGUCACCUCAUACUAAUUUAGACUAUUACGGUGUGUACUUCUUCAUUCCUUUGUCCACAUGCGUGCAGCUCUUUCGUGCUUCGUUGAUAAACCACUUCUUCAUAUCUGUACCAUCACUAUCAUGUCUGUAAUGUAAUACUGGAUGGUAACAAUCUAGCUGGGGGCAAAACUGCCCCCUUUUUAAGCAAAGUGUUUGCUGUUGGUGAAAAGACCCCACAGAGCUUCUAGAAAAAUGGGGCAAGGUAGCAAAAACCGUUAUUAAUUUAAUCUGUUUGCAUUAGACACCAAAGACCUGCUUGUGUUACCCAACACAUUGCCGGGCCUAGUUUUACAGUGAUGGCACCAAAUCCUGUAUCAUUACCUUUCUCAUCUCAUUACAUUUCCUUUUGUGCACCUUUUAUCAGUCAGUUGUGGCCAGUGCUCUUUUCUUUGGAGUGGUUUGCUGGGGUGAGAGUGCUAGAACAAUGGACUCUAACCGAAUAAACAAACAGAUCAAAAAGGCCAGCUCCAUAGUGGGGUCUGAACAGGACUCAGUUCAGCAGGUAGCAGAGUUAAGAAUGCUCACAAAGCUUAACUCAAUUAUCAAAAACAAUUCACACCCACUUCACCCCCUGGAGGUGUUUCGACAGAGCACCUUCAGUCACAGACUGAUUCCUCCUAAAUGCAGGACUGAACGCUACAGGAAAUCCUUUCUUAUAACUGCAAUUAGACUGUUUAACAAUUCACAAUAAUCCAAAUUAAUCAUUUAUAAGAAAUACCAGUUCUGUAUGCUAUGCAUGCACAUUAAACCAAUGGUUACAUAUCUCAAU